RNAcentral lists this ribosomal RNA (305 nucleotides) under uncultured bacterium. Its description in RNAcentral is "bacterial SSU rRNA". It matches the Rfam family "Bacterial small subunit ribosomal RNA", at positions 336 to 658 of the family's 1533-position model. The record is from RNAcentral.
UUCCUACGGGAGGCAGCAGUGGGGAAUAUUGCACAAUGGGGGAAACCCUGAUGCAGCGACGCCGCGUGAAGGAAGAAGUAUUUCGGCAUGUAAACUUCUAUCAGCAGGGAAGAAAAUGACGGUACCUGACUAAGAAGCCCCGGCUAACUACGUGCCAGCAGACGCGGUAAUACGUAGGGGGCAAGCGUUAUCCGGAUUUACUGGGUGUAAAGGGAGCGUAGGCGGCGGUGCAAGUCAGAAGUGAAAGCCCGCAGCUCAACUGCGGAACGGCUUUUGAAACUGUAUGACUAGAUUGCUGGAGAGGG